GUCAUGUGGUGGGCCUUGGAGAAACACAAAGUCCCAGCAAAGUACAUUACCCUCAUCAAGGACAUGUACGAUAAUGUUGUGACAAGUGUUCGAACAAGUGAUGUCGACACUGAUGACUUCCCAAUUAAGAUAGGACUGCAUCAGGGGUCAGCUUUGAGCCCUUAUCUUUUUGCAUUGGUGAUGGAUGAGGUCACAAGGGAUAUACAAGGAGAUAUCCCAUGGUGUAUGCUCUUUGCGGAUGAUGUGGUGCUAGUUGACGAUAGUCGGGCGGGGGUAAAUAGGAAGUUAGAGUUAUGGAGACAAACCUUGGAAUCGAAAGGGUUUAGGCUUAGUAGGACUAAAACCGAGUACAUGAUGUGCGGUUUCAGUACUACUAGGUGUGAGGAGGAGGAGGUUAGCCUUGAUGGUCAGGUGGUACCUCGGAAGGACACCUUUCGGUAUUUGGGGUCAAUGCUGCAGGAGGAUGGGGGUAUUGAUGAAGAUGUGAACCAUCGGAUCAAAGCCAGAUGGAUGAAGUGGCGCCAAGCUUCUGGCAUUCUCUGUGACAAGAGAGUGCCACAAAAGCUAAAAGGCAAGUUCUACAGGACGGCGGUUCGACCUGCAAUGUUGUAUGGCGCUGAGUGUUGGCCGACUAAAAGGCGACAUGUUCAACAGUUAGGUGUGGCGGAGAUGCGUAUGUUGAGAUGGAUGUGUGGCCACACGAGGAAGGAUCGAGUCCGGAAUGAUGAUAUACGAGAUAGAGUUGGGGUAGCACCAAUUGAAGAGAAGCUUGUCCAACAUCGUCUGAGAUGGUUUGGGCAUAUCCAGCGCAGGCCUCCAGAAGCUCCAGCGCAUAGAGGAUGGCUAAAGCGUGCGGAGAAUGUCAAGAGAGGGCGGGGUAGACCGAAUUUGACAUGGGAGGAGUCCGUUAAGAGAGACCUGAAGGAUUGGGGUAUCACC
RNAcentral lists this ribosomal RNA (939 nucleotides) under Triticum aestivum (bread wheat). RNAcentral's name for it is "partial small subunit ribosomal RNA". The record is from RNAcentral. Lineage: Eukaryota; Viridiplantae; Streptophyta; Magnoliopsida; Poales; Poaceae.